Molecule: ribosomal RNA, 253 nt
Filed under: uncultured bacterium
Lineage: Bacteria
Description: partial 16S ribosomal RNA
Rfam family: Bacterial small subunit ribosomal RNA
Source: RNAcentral
UACAGAGGGUGCGAGCGUUAAUCGGAAUUACUGGGCGUAAAGCGUGCGUAGACGGUUAUCUAAGUCGGAUGUGAAAGCCCCGGGCUCAACCUGGGAAUGGCGCCUGGGACGGCGGGACUAGAGAUCGGGAGAGGAGCGUGGAAUUCCCAGUGUAGAGGUGAAAUUCGUAGAUAUUGGGAAGAACACCGGUGGCGAAGGCGGCGAGCUGGUCCAUUACUGACGCUGAGGCGCGACAGCGUGGGGAGCAAACAGG